Molecule: ribosomal RNA, 802 nt
Filed under: uncultured bacterium
Lineage: Bacteria
Description: bacterial SSU rRNA
Rfam family: Bacterial small subunit ribosomal RNA
Source: RNAcentral
GGCUCAGAUUGAACGCUGGCGGCAGGCCUAACACAUGCAAGUCGAACGGUAACAGGAAGAAGCUUGCUUCUUUGCUGACGAGUGGCGGACGGGUGAGUAAUGUCUGGGAAACUGCCUGAUGGAGGGGGAUAACUACUGGAAACGGUAGCUAAUACCGCAUAACGUCGCAAGACCAAAGAGGGGGACCUUCGGGCCUCUUGCCAUCGGAUGUGCCCAGAUGGGAUUAGCUAGUAGGUGGGGUAACGGCUUACCUAGGCGACGAUCCCUAGCUGGUCUGAGAGGAUGACCAGCCACACUGGAACUGAGACACGGUCCAGACUCCUACGGGAGGCAGCAGUGGGGAAUAUUGCACAAUGGGCGCAAGCCUGAUGCAGCCAUGCCGCGUGUAUGAAGAAGGCCUUCGGGUUGUAAAGUACUUUCAGCGGGGAGGAAGGGAGUAAAGUUAAUACCUUUGCUCAUUGACGUUACCCGCAGAAGAAGCACCGGCUAACUCCGUGCCGGCAGCCGCGGUAAUACGGAGGGUGCAAGCGUUAAUCGGAAUUACUGGGCGUAAAGCGCACGCAGGCGGUUUGUUAAGUCAGAUGUGAAAUCCCCGGGCUCAACCUGGGAACUGCAUCUGAUACUGGCAAGCUUGAGUCUCGUAGAGGGGGGUAGAAUUCCAGGUGUAGCGGUGAAAUGCGUAGAGAUCUGGAGGAAUACCGGUGGCGAAGGCGGCCCCCUGGACGAAGACUGACGCUCAGGUGCGAAAGCAUGGGGAGCAAACAGGAUUAGAUACCCUGGUAGUCCACGCCGUAAACGAUGU